UGGGGUAUAUUGGACAAUGGGCGAAAGCCUGAUCCAGCCAUGCCGCGUGUGUGAAGAAGGUCUUCGGAUUGUAAAGCACUUUAAGUUGGGAGGAAGGGCAGUAAGCGAAUACCUUGCUGUUUUGACGUUACCGACAGAAUAAGCACCGGCUAACUCUGUGCCAGCAGCCGCGGUAAUACAGAGGGUGCAAGCGUUAAUCGGAAUUACUGGGCGUAAAGCGCGCGUGGGUGGUUCGUUAAGUUGAAUGUGAAAGCCCCGGGCUCAACCUAGGAACUGCAUCCAAAACUGGCGAGCUAGAGUAGGGAAGAGGGUGGGGAAAUUGCCUGUGUAGCGGUGAAAUGCGUAGAUAUAGGAAGGAACACCAGUGGCGAAGGCGACCACCUGGGCUCAUACUGACACUGAGGUGCGAAAGCGUGGGGAGCAAACAGG
RNAcentral lists this ribosomal RNA (429 nucleotides) under Pseudomonadota bacterium. RNAcentral's name for it is "Proteobacteria bacterium partial 16S ribosomal RNA". It matches the Rfam family "Bacterial small subunit ribosomal RNA", at positions 355 to 776 of the family's 1533-position model. Lineage: Bacteria; Pseudomonadati; Pseudomonadota. The record is from RNAcentral.